UCCUUGGUGGUCCAGUGGUUAAGACUCCAUGCUUCCAGUGCAGGGGCCCCAGGUUUGAUCCCUGGCCAGGGAA
Non-coding RNA from Budorcas taxicolor (takin), 73 nucleotides. NCBI's taxonomy places the organism in Eukaryota, Metazoa, Chordata, Mammalia, Artiodactyla, Bovidae. The record is from the annotation of a RefSeq genome assembly.